This 478-nucleotide ribosomal RNA is filed under the name uncultured bacterium. RNAcentral's name for it is "partial 16S ribosomal RNA". It matches the Rfam family "Bacterial small subunit ribosomal RNA", at positions 28 to 507 of the family's 1533-position model. The record is from RNAcentral.
GAUGAACGCUGGCGGCGUGCUUAACACAUGCAAGUCGAACGAGAAGUGAAGACGGAAACCUUCGGGCGGAAGGCUUUAUUUCGAGUGGCGGACGGGUGAGUAACGCGUGGGUAACCUGCCUCAUACAGGGGGAUAACAGUUGGAAACGACUGUUAAUACCGCAUAAGACCACAGCACCGCAUGGUGCGGGGGUAAAAACUCCGGUGGUAUGAGAUGGACCCGCGUUCGAUUAGCCAGUUGGCGGGGUAACGGCCCACCAAAGCGACGAUCGAUAGCCGAUCUGAGAGGAUGACCGGCCACAUUGGGACUGAGACACGGCCCAAUCUCCUACGGGAGGCAGCAGUGGGGAAUAUUGCACAAUGGGGGAAACCCUGAUGCAGCGACGCCGCGUGAGUGAAGAAGUAUUUCGGUAUGUAAAGCUCUAUCAGCAGGGAAGAAAAUGACGGUACCUGAGUAAGAAGCCCCGGCUAACUACGUG